GUCAAAGAUUAGGGUAAAAGGUUCGUAGGUAGUCGAGUGUUUCUCUUUGUCUUACUCAAUUCGAUAGCAUUAUCUAUUACCACCUAGAGUUUGACUGUAUUCUUAGUUUCGAUCUUAUUUCAUCUUGAUGUUAUUCCUAUUUGUUGCAAUUACCUUUUCUUUUUCGAGCGCUCUCUAGCUGAGGGUCUAUCGGAAACAUCUCUGCCCUUCCAAGGAUAGGUAAGACUGAGUACAUCUUAUCCUCCCCAAACCCCACUCGUGGAUAACUAUUGGGUUUGUUCUUGUUGUUGUUGUUGUAAAAAUAAUAAAAUGGUACUUAAAAAUAUGUAUUUGCGUUACAAAAUGAAAAAUUACCAAAAAAUAAUCAUGUUUAGAAUUUUUCGAAUCCACUCAAACGAUUCUUCCUCUAAUCUUUUCCCAUAAUUGCUUCAUUGUACAAAAAAGUUAUUGUUAGAAUAUGUAAUAGUAGAACCCUAAUCCAAUGUGUAUUAGGAGUAGCCUAAUCCAAUGUUUAUUAGGAGUAGGAUACGUUACGUGCUUUCUCACAUGGUAUCAAAGCUUUGGUGAGAUAAUUAUCAUUGUGCGUCAUUCCAAAGACAUCCGGGAAGAAAUAACUCAGUCACCGUGCAAUUUUUCGGUGACCGAAGUGUCUAAUUGCGUCAAAGUCACUAAUUAUCAGUGUUGUGAAAAAAACCAACACCAUCACAUCUACAGUGAGUAUUAUAAUUGUGCGUCAUUCCAGCUACUUCCGGGAAGAAAGACCUCGUCGCCGUGCAAUUUUCCAGCGACUUAAGCGGCUGUCCGUAACUAAACCAUUAGGUACCACAAAACCAACACCAUCACAUCGACAGUGAGUAUAUUAUAGCUGUGCGUCAUUCCAGCUACUUCCGGGAAGAAAGACCUCGUCAUCGUGCAAUUUUCCGGCGACUUAAGCGGCUUUCCGUAACUAAACCACCUUUUUGUUGGUGUUGUGCAAAAUCCGAGACCACCAAGAGGUUCAGAAAAGAAUUCCGACCAACCCCAGAAAAAAUCAGCGGAAACGAACCUCCCACGCGCCCGCCGGAGUUCUGCCGCUGCCGGCGCGUCUGUCCCACGCGUCGGCGCGUGAACACUGUUCCGGCGAGAUUUUGACGAAGGUCUUUCAAGGCAGUUGGAUCGCCCUCAAAUUCCGAGCCUACCCAUAUUUUUACUUUUCAAUUCUGACAACCGUGAAUUUUCUCCGGUAGCUACAGUAUUAUUUCCGGCAGCUACAGUAUUUCCAAUUUCCACUUUUCAGUUGAUUCUUUCUGAUUAUUUGGUGAUAAUCCAACGAUGUCUUUAGGACUCUAUGCUUUCGGGUCUAGAAACCCGGAUUCGAUGUUAACUACAUAUGUAACAAGCUCGGUACAUAUGAUUUAUAUGCACCAGCUUGAGGGGGAGUGUUAGAAUAUGUAAUAAUAGAACCCUAAUCCAAUAUGUAUUAGGAGUAGCCUAAUCCAAUGUUUAUUAGGAGUUAUAUUCUUCUCCCGUGCUUUCUCACAGCACCAAUGCACUUAUAUCUGGCUAUAGAGCUCGAAUACUUAAACUGUUGUUAAUGAAAAUUAUGAAUCCUUUAUUUUAGAUGUCUGGAAGAGAUAAAAUAAUGUUUUCAAAAUCCAAGUUAUAAGAGUAGUAUUUGAUUGAAAGGUAAAAAAGGUUGUUCGCUUUAUAUGAGGCCUAGCUAAGUACGUGCGUUUAUUUCAUAUUAAUUUUACAAAAUCAAGAGUCUGAUAAUUUACCAACAAUUAAAAAGUCUUUACCCACAAUUUACUCAAUUUGUGAGAAUGGAUAAAACUUGUACCCUUAUCCUAAUCAUGCAUUAGUAAUCACAUAAUUCCAACUCGACAAAUACUGAUGGCAGAAAACUUUUAUAAAGAACAUAGAGAUCGCAACAAUUCUUUUUGAACAUGGAGUUGUAUGAACUUGUACCACUCAAGAAGAAAUCAAGUUAAAAGAAUGCGAGGAUAAUCAAUAGAUGGAAAGUCAAAUAAUAUAUGGUGUCAAAGUCCAGUAAGAUCUUAUCGAUUUUAAAGU
This 2052-nucleotide long non-coding RNA is filed under the name Nicotiana benthamiana. RNAcentral describes it as "long non-coding RNA (NBEN_LNC023579)". Lineage: Eukaryota; Viridiplantae; Streptophyta; Magnoliopsida; Solanales; Solanaceae. The record is from RNAcentral.